AGAGUUGGUUGAUGAUAAGGAGGUGGUACGUUAAUUCCUCAAGUUUGGUCCUCGUACUAAAUCCUACCUUUAGCCACAGAAACCUGUUCUUCUUUGGUUUUAUCCACACGUCUAUGUCAAGUCAGAGCUCGUUGAAGAACCUCUUCAUUCGGCAAAAGGGCUGUUUUCAUCCUGGUUCAGGACGUUAGAGCGCAAUCUUACAUAGACAGCAUUAGAAUGCUGUUCUUUUUUUCUUUUUUUUGCAAGAGUGCCUCUAAGAGAGAGUUGCGACAGUAUUCAGCUAAACUCAAUCGCUCCCUGGGGUGAGCGUGUAAAAUUAGAGAUUUUAAGUACUCUGAAAGAAUCAGGGAGGAAAAAAACCAACGGAACCGUCUUUCCAAGUUGAAUCACUUCAGAACACACACAAAAAAGACUGCAUGUUUAAAUGCUUCCUAAUACCAACCUUCUCAUAUACUUGAAAUACUAGCAUCUCUAUGAGAAAUUGAAGAUAAUGAACCUGUCUCCACACCUAUUUCCACACAUCAAAAACAUGCAAGCAUAUUUAGUCUGAUGCUCAGGAAUGAUUGUAUUAUCCCUCCACUUAAAGAUGCUAAAUGCAAUUUACUCCAUAAAAAAGGCCACAUUGAACCAUUUCUAAGAAAGUUAUCAUGUCCUGGCUUUUUACACGAGGAAUGCAUUUCUCAAUGAAUAUUUCUUUUUAAAAAGUACUGUUCUAGAAUUUACUAUUUUUUUUACCAUCAAACUUCCUGGUGUUUUGCAAUUAUAAGUUUGCAAUAAGUUUAGAUUUUUUAGUUCUUAAGUAUUGAAUUGUAAAAACAUAUCAGCAUGGAUUACCAACAGCUCAGAAGAAAAAAAAUUAGUUAUACAAGUAGACUAUGCUUAACAACUGCCCUAUUUAGCAACUGUACAAAUUUACAACAGCGCUAAAAAAAUAAUUUUAUGACCAGUCA
Pantherophis guttatus is the source of this 950-nucleotide non-coding RNA. The record is from RefSeq and is a predicted model, not a curated record. Lineage: Eukaryota; Metazoa; Chordata; Lepidosauria; Squamata; Colubridae.